UAAGGAAUAUUGGUCAAUGGAGGCAACUCUGAACCAGCCAUGCCGCGUGCAGGAAGACGGCCCUCUGGGUUGUAAACUGCUUUUAUUCGGGAAUAAACCUAUCUACGUGUAGAUAGCUGAAUGUACCGAAGGAAUAAGGAUCGGCUAACUCCGUGCCAGCAGCCGCGGUAAUACGGAGGAUCCAAGCGUUAUCCGGAUUUAUUGGGUUUAAAGGGUGCGUAGGCGGCCUAUUAAGUCAGGGGUGAAAGACAGUAGCUCAACUAUCGCAGUGCCCUUGAUACUGAUGAGCUUGAAUGAACUAGAGGUAGGCGGAAUGUGACAAGUAGCGGUGAAAUGCAUAGAUAUGUCACAGAACACCGAUUGCGAAGGCAGCUUACUAUGGUUUUAUUGACGCUGAGGCACGAAAGCGUGGGGAUCAAACA
This 422-nucleotide ribosomal RNA is filed under the name uncultured bacterium. RNAcentral describes it as "bacterial SSU rRNA". It matches the Rfam family "Bacterial small subunit ribosomal RNA", at positions 355 to 774 of the family's 1533-position model. The record is from RNAcentral.